AGCCUCUCCAGCUGCCAGUGAGGAAAGAGAUUAUUGCUGGAGCUCCAAUAGUAGCCCCCCUACACUGCAGACUCUGAGAUCCCUCCACCUUACUUCGGAUGUCUUCUGCACUAGUCUACUGAGGUCACCCUGUGAUCAUGGUGACUCUCCACCAGCACACAGGGACAUCUGGAUAGCAGCAGCAGGUGACUCAGUCUUCCAGUCCCAACACAUAAACAAGCUGCUGAAAAAGCAACUUCAAAGUCUGUGUAAGGAAGGGAACAAUGUCAAAACUAGCAUUGGAGA
Molecule: long non-coding RNA, 285 nt
Organism: Trachemys scripta elegans
Lineage: Eukaryota; Metazoa; Chordata; Testudines; Emydidae
Exons: 3
Source: RefSeq, a predicted model, not a curated record